CUGGAGCCUGCUCAGAGGUGCUUUGAAGUGCCGGAGGCCCCGCCUCUGCUGUUGGCAGCUGUGUUGCUGGGCCUGUGGGGGCCUACUGUGGCUACUCAGCUGUGCGCAUGGCCCGCCUGCUGUCACCAGGGGCGAGGCUCAUCACCAUCGAGAUCAACCCCGACUGUGCCGCCAUCACCCAGCGGAUGGUGGAUUUCGCUGGCGUGAAGGACAAGUCACCCUUGUGGUUGGAGCGUCC
This 238-nucleotide long non-coding RNA is filed under the name Homo sapiens (human). RNAcentral's name for it is "long non-coding RNA NONHSAT083439.2". The record is from RNAcentral. Lineage: Eukaryota; Metazoa; Chordata; Mammalia; Primates; Hominidae.